UACGUAGGGUGCAAGCGUUGUCCGGAAUUAUUGGGCGUAAAGAGCUCGUAGGCGGCCUGUCACGUCGACUGUGAAAACCCAGGGCUCAACCCUGGGCCUGCAGUCGAUACGGGCAGGCUAGAGUGUGGUAGGGGUGACUGGAAUUCCUGGUGUAGCGGUGGAAUGCGCAGAUAUCAGGAGGAACACCGAUGGCGAAGGCAGGUCACUGGGCCGCAACUGACGCUGAGGAGCGAAAGCAUGGGGAGCGAACAGG
Molecule: ribosomal RNA, 253 nt
Filed under: uncultured bacterium
Lineage: Bacteria
Description: partial 16S ribosomal RNA
Rfam family: Bacterial small subunit ribosomal RNA
Source: RNAcentral